RNAcentral lists this ribosomal RNA (2904 nucleotides) under Escherichia coli. RNAcentral describes it as "23S ribosomal RNA". It matches the Rfam family "Bacterial large subunit ribosomal RNA". The record is from RNAcentral. Lineage: Bacteria; Pseudomonadati; Pseudomonadota; Gammaproteobacteria; Enterobacterales; Enterobacteriaceae.
GGUUAAGCGACUAAGCGUACACGGUGGAUGCCCUGGCAGUCAGAGGCGAUGAAGGACGUGCUAAUCUGCGAUAAGCGUCGGUAAGGUGAUAUGAACCGUUAUAACCGGCGAUUUCCGAAUGGGGAAACCCAGUGUGUUUCGACACACUAUCAUUAACUGAAUCCAUAGGUUAAUGAGGCGAACCGGGGGAACUGAAACAUCUAAGUACCCCGAGGAAAAGAAAUCAACCGAGAUUCCCCCAGUAGCGGCGAGCGAACGGGGAGCAGCCCAGAGCCUGAAUCAGUGUGUGUGUUAGUGGAAGCGUCUGGAAAGGCGCGCGAUACAGGGUGACAGCCCCGUACACAAAAAUGCACAUACUGUGAGCUCGAUGAGUAGGGCGGGACACGUGGUAUCCUGUCUGAAUAUGGGGGGACCAUCCUCCAAGGCUAAAUACUCCUGACUGACCGAUAGUGAACCAGUACCGUGAGGGAAAGGCGAAAAGAACCCCGGCGAGGGGAGUGAAAAAGAACCUGAAACCGUGUACGUACAAGCAGUGGGAGCCUCUUUAUGGGGUGACUGCGUACCUUUUGUAUAAUGGGUCAGCGACUUAUAUUCUGUAGCAAGGUUAACCGAAUAGGGGAGCCGAAGGGAAACCGAGUCUUAACUGGGCGUUAAGUUGCAGGGUAUAGACCCGAAACCCGGUGAUCUAGCCAUGGGCAGGUUGAAGGUUGGGUAACACUAACUGGAGGACCGAACCGACUAAUGUUGAAAAAUUAGCGGAUGACUUGUGGCUGGGGGUGAAAGGCCAAUCAAACCGGGAGAUAGCUGGUUCUCCCCGAAAGCUAUUUAGGUAGCGCCUCGUGAAUUCAUCUCCGGGGGUAGAGCACUGUUUCGGCAAGGGGGUCAUCCCGACUUACCAACCCGAUGCAAACUGCGAAUACCGGAGAAUGUUAUCACGGGAGACACACGGCGGGUGCUAACGUCCGUCGUGAAGAGGGAAACAACCCAGACCGCCAGCUAAGGUCCCAAAGUCAUGGUUAAGUGGGAAACGAUGUGGGAAGGCCCAGACAGCCAGGAUGUUGGCUUAGAAGCAGCCAUCAUUUAAAGAAAGCGUAAUAGCUCACUGGUCGAGUCGGCCUGCGCGGAAGAUGUAACGGGGCUAAACCAUGCACCGAAGCUGCGGCAGCGACACUAUGUGUUGUUGGGUAGGGGAGCGUUCUGUAAGCCUGUGAAGGUGUGCUGUGAGGUAUGCUGGAGGUAUCAGAAGUGCGAAUGCUGACAUAAGUAACGAUAAAGCGGGUGAAAAGCCCGCUCGCCGGAAGACCAAGGGUUCCUGUCCAACGUUAAUCGGGGCAGGGUGAGUCGACCCCUAAGGCGAGGCCGAAAGGCGUAGUCGAUGGGAAACAGGUUAAUAUUCCUGUACUUGGUGUUACUGCGAAGGGGGGACGGAGAAGGCUAUGUUGGCCGGGCGACGGUUGUCCCGGUUUAAGCGUGUAGGCUGGUUUUCCAGGCAAAUCCGGAAAAUCAAGGCUGAGGCGUGAUGACGAGGCACUACGGUGCUGAAGCAACAAAUGCCCUGCUUCCAGGAAAAGCCUCUAAGCAUCAGGUAACAUCAAAUCGUACCCCAAACCGACACAGGUGGUCAGGUAGAGAAUACCAAGGCGCUUGAGAGAACUCGGGUGAAGGAACUAGGCAAAAUGGUGCCGUAACUUCGGGAGAAGGCACGCUGAUAUGUAGGUGAAGUCCCUUGCGGAUGGAGCUGAAAUCAGUCGAAGAUACCAGCUGGCUGCAACUGUUUAUUAAAAACACAGCACUGUGCAAACACGAAAGUGGACGUAUACGGUGUGACGCCUGCCCGGUGCCGGAAGGUUAAUUGAUGGGGUUAGCGGUAACGCGAAGCUCUUGAUCGAAGCCCCGGUAAACGGCGGCCGUAACUAUAACGGUCCUAAGGUAGCGAAAUUCCUUGUCGGGUAAGUUCCGACCUGCACGAAUGGCGUAAUGAUGGCCAGGCUGUCUCCACCCGAGACUCAGUGAAAUUGAACUCGCUGUGAAGAUGCAGUGUACCCGCGGCAAGACGGAAAGACCCCGUGAACCUUUACUAUAGCUUGACACUGAACAUUGAGCCUUGAUGUGUAGGAUAGGUGGGAGGCUUUGAAGUGUGGACGCCAGUCUGCAUGGAGCCGACCUUGAAAUACCACCCUUUAAUGUUUGAUGUUCUAACGUUGGCCCCUAAUCGGGGUUGCGGACAGUGUCUGGUGGGUAGUUUGACUGGGGCGGUCUCCUCCUAAAGAGUAACGGAGGAGCACGAAGGUUGGCUAAUCCUGGUCGGACAUCAGGAGGUUAGUGCAAUGGCAUAAGCCAGCUUGACUGCGAGCGUGACGGCGCGAGCAGGUGCGAAAGCAGGUCAUAGUGAUCCGGUGGUUCUGAAUGGAAGGGCCAUCGCUCAACGGAUAAAAGGUACUCCGGGGAUAACAGGCUGAUACCGCCCAAGAGUUCAUAUCGACGGCGGUGUUUGGCACCUCGAUGUCGGCUCAUCACAUCCUGGGGCUGAAGUAGGUCCCAAGGGUAUGGCUGUUCGCCAUUUAAAGUGGUACGCGAGCUGGGUUUAGAACGUCGUGAGACAGUUCGGUCCCUAUCUGCCGUGGGCGCUGGAGAACUGAGGGGGGCUGCUCCUAGUACGAGAGGACCGGAGUGGACGCAUCACUGGUGUUCGGGUUGUCAUGCCAAUGGCACUGCCCGGUAGCUAAAUGCGGAAGAGAUAAGUGCUGAAAGCAUCUAAGCACGAAACUUGCCCCGAGAUGAGUUCUCCCUGACUCCUUGAGAGUCCUGAAGGAACGUUGAAGACGACGACGUUGAUAGGCCGGGUGUGUAAGCGCAGCGAUGCGUUGAGCUAACCGGUACUAAUGAACCGUGAGGCUUAACCUU